GGAGUUAUGAAAUGUAAGUGCGCUAAUAUCGUGCUUAUUUGACAAAGGCUCCAAAGGAAGCCACGGCUAACUCUGUGCCAGCAGCCGCGGUAAUACAGAGGUGGCGAGCGUUGUUCGGAAUUAUUGGGCGUAAAGAGCACGUAGGUGGGUUUGCAAGUCAGAUGUGAAAGCCUUCUGUUCAACGGAAGAAUUGCAUCUGAAACUGCUAAUCUUGAGUAUAGGAGGGGAGAGUGGAACUUCUG
This 242-nucleotide ribosomal RNA is filed under the name uncultured Planctomycetales bacterium. Its description in RNAcentral is "partial 16S ribosomal RNA". It matches the Rfam family "Bacterial small subunit ribosomal RNA", at positions 439 to 672 of the family's 1533-position model. The record is from RNAcentral. Lineage: Bacteria; Pseudomonadati; Planctomycetota; Planctomycetia; Planctomycetales.